AAUUUCUCUUUCUUCAGGAAUCCAUGGGAUCUUUUCCAAAUUCUCCAUUUACAUUUUCUUUUUUUCUCUGCCUGACGAUCAUCUGCAAUUUUCUUUUUCCUUUAUAAGCAGAUGAUCAGGCAGAGAUCAAGAAAAUGUUUAAAUGGAAGAGAAUUUGGAAAAUAAUGGUGUCUCAAUUUCCUUCAAGAUUCACCAUCUGAUUACUGCCUUCUUCCUAUGAUCUCACUCUUCUUUGUAAAAGAGAUUACGAGUGAGAUGGAAGAAGGCAUUAAGAUGGUGAAUCAGGAAAUUGAUCAAUGACACCAUUAUGAUCCCAGGGAAGCCAGCUUCAAUAUUGAUCACACCCACAGAUAAAAGCUGGGCUCUAAACUCAUGAGUUUUUAAAAGAAAAGAACGAGCCCAGCAUCUGUGGGUGAUCAUGAUCAAUAGCUGGCUUCAAUUCCUUGACGGUACGUUAUUUUCUUUAUUGAGCUCGUCUUUCUUUCAUUCUCUUAUUAUAAGAGCUCAAUAAAGGAAAAGAUAACGUGUAA
RNAcentral lists this non-coding RNA (530 nucleotides) under Prorocentrum minimum. Lineage: Eukaryota; Dinophyceae; Prorocentrales; Prorocentraceae. The record is from RNAcentral.